Molecule: long non-coding RNA, 3731 nt
Organism: Cavia porcellus (domestic guinea pig)
Lineage: Eukaryota; Metazoa; Chordata; Mammalia; Rodentia; Caviidae
Exons: 2
Source: RefSeq, a predicted model, not a curated record
UCUGUGGGGCAAAGUUGAGGUCGGAGGAGAAGGAAUGUUAAUUCUCACAUGAGGGAAAGGGCAAAGUGAUGGACUUCACAGAGAGAAAGUCAUGCAAAUGACAAGAAGCUUUCUGAACGAAACCUGCAGGGGAGGUACAGAACAGCCUGACAUCGUCUUAGGUUGGAAGAGCAGUAGUAAGAAGGGGAAUAACGCGGGCUGAAGAUGAAAGAAGAGAAGUAGAGCAAGGUGACUGGGGUUUGGAACUUGGGUGGGAGCAGUGUGUUUGGCUGUUUUGUCAGGGAGAUUGUUUUGGGCUAUAUGGCUUGAUGAGACAGGAAGUGGAGGACAGCUAUUAAUGGCAGGUUGGGUGUAUUUAUGGGAGUUUUUAUGUGGCCUCCGUUAAUGAUGAGUGAUUCUGUGUAAUGAGAAGCUAGGAGGGAGCUAGGAUAAGUGUUCGGGUUAGGGCUGUGAAAUUUGUCUGUUGUGAGGUGAUUUUGAGGGGAGUGAUAAGAGUCUCAAUUGCAUGUCUAAUGCAGGAGAGGAUAUUAUGUGUCUGCAGCUAGAGACAAUAGCAUAUGUCACCUAGUGCCUACUAGGAAUUUGGAAAGUGCUUUUAUCUAUGAACCAGGUUUUGGCUGACUAUGUGUUGGUGUUUCUGUGCACAUUGGCAAAGUGUCUGAGAACAUGAUUGUGUUGUCUGAAGGCAGUUGUGAAUAUCCUGAGCUAGACAAGGCAUAAGGGUAUAUGAGUUGUUUUGGAGGUCUUAUAAAGUGGUCUGGCUAUGAGGUCAAAGUUAGGAACCUAGAGAUGAGUUUGUAGGGAAAUAUUGUCUGGAGAGGAAAUGAUUGGAUGAGAGCUUUGUGAUCAGUAGUGAUGGGCCACUACAUGGGAUAAAGUGGAGCCCUAGGUAUUGAAUAGUAGUCUAGGUUAAUUGUAAAAAGAAAGGAGAGCGGUGUCUGAGUGAUAAUCUUAUGGAGAUUAAAAUAUUAUCAACAUAUUGGAGCAUUUGAGAGGUGGAAUCUUGUCAAGAUAGUGGCUGAGACCCUGACUGAAUAAGUGGGGCAGUUAAGCCUUUGGGGGAAGACUGUCUAGGUACACAGCUCAAGAGGCGUUGGUCUAAGUGAAGGUUUUGGUACUGGAUGUUAGUUCAAGUUAAUUGAGCUGGAUUACUAUAGAUAGGAUUAGGGAGGGUUAAUGGAAUAGGCUUAGGUGAAGUGAGGUGAGGGUAAGUGACAUUGGGGUAGCAAGAAUAGCUGAAUAUGCGGCCAUAGCAAUGGCUAACAUUCUACUGUGGCUGCAGUGUGUCCUAGGUGGUGGGGAGGGUAUAUCAUGUCCCUGGACUCAGAAGGAUGGGAACAGCCAUUUUAGAAACUCUGCUGGGUGGCCGUGGUAGAUGGGGGCCACCAGAUCUAUUAUUAUAGAUGGCUACAUUAGUUAGAAAUAUUAUAGGCAGUCAAGUAGAGCUAGCCCCUGAAAGAAGUCAGUGAAGAUAAGAACACAUUUCAACUGUGGCUGGAGGCACAUUCAAUGAAGGUCAGACCUCAGGAUAAAGGAAACUACUAUACCUACAUACUUCUGAGAGAUGAGCAACAAUGCCUGAUAUUCUAAAUAGCAUCGAUUACCUUGGGUAUGGGACCAAAACCUCCUUGUCCCAUACCUUCCAGGAAAAGUCCUUGUUUAUUGCAUGUAUACUUGCUAUCUGAUUUGCUUCCCCAUUUGACCAGUAUUACCUAAGUAACUUUACUUGUAACCUUAUUGGUCCAUCAUAGUUUUGUCCCACAUUAUACUCACUUUGUGAUUUUCCACUGAAUUAAUAUUACCUAAGCAAUCAGUAGUCUUGUUAGUUGACCAUAGUUUUGUCUCAUCAUAUAACUGCCUCAUAAUUUUUCUCUAAGUAACUUCCUUGAGAAGUGGAGUCCCUAGCAACCCUCUUUCUAGUCCUUUUCUGUCUUUCUUUCAAUAAAUGUUUCCUACUGUUAACCUCUGUUGUUCCUUAGAAUUUAUUCUUCAUUUUUGGGGAACACAAACUCAAGGUAUUGGAUGUCCAGCAGGUUGGGAGUUAUAAUAUUUCCCUCAUAUGAUUUGAAUUAUUUGGAAGUCCAAAUCAUCACUAUAUCACUAUCAUUGCCCAUUAGUAUUGCUGUUGACUUGGAGGUAGAGGGAGCACAGUUUAAAGGUGAAAAAAAUAUAUAGGUUCAAGCCUGAAUUUACAGGCAUAUUGUCUUUAAGACCAUUAGAAUUUUAUUGAGUGAUUUCCUGAAAGGAAAAAAGACUUGAGUAAAUUUGUGUCUUAAAACUACAGUUGAAUCACAAUUUUAAAAUCUGGUUUCCCUUAUCUCCUUUUUACCUAGUUUUUAUUUCUUCCAUUAUGCCUCAUUGACCACUGCUCAGAACACAGAGAAAGAGCAGCUAAACCAAAGUCAGGCCAGUUAAUCUAAACCACAGCUGAGCAGCUGCCUCUUGCCAACAGCUACUGGACCACCCAAACCUUAUAGGCUGCAAGCCCAGAAGUCUGUACUUCUCCAACCUCAGCUUUGGAGAUUUGAGUAUGUAGCUUUGGCUUUUUUUUUUUUUUUUCUUUUAAUGGUUGUCUUUUUGAAACAGGGUCUCGCUAUGCAGUUCAGGCUGGCCUUGAGCUCACUUUGUAGCCCCGGCUGGUCUGGGACUUGCAGUGAUCUUCCUACCUCAGUUCCCAAGUGCUGAGAUUACAGGCCUGCUUUGGCUUUUUGAGUUUUAGCCAAAUUAGCACUACAAAAUUGAACUUUAAGUUAGAUGUUUUUUAUUUUUUUGUUGUUUUUUUUUUCCCCUUUGGAGCUAGUGGCUUCUUGAGGCCUACAACAUAACCAUCUUCCCCCACCUCCUGUUAGCUUAGAUGAAUGAAAAGAAUAUUCAGAUGCCAACAUCAGGAGGGAUGGAGCUCAGUUUCCUUUCCACAGUAUCAGGUUCUAUCCUAGAUCCCCGAUCUCCCAAACGAGUGUACAGUGGAGGUUAAAUAAGAAGAGACAAAUUGUAUACAUUUUUAGGGCUCCAGGAGGGUCAAAACCCUUUAAUUAAGCUCGAGACUUUGAGGGUUAAGACAAAGGAUUCUCUGGAUCAGUCCACUUAUAUUAAGACCAAGGACAAAGGGCAGAGAAACUGAGGAAAGUGCAGGCAAUGAGCAGGACCUUGGGAGUCACUUCAAAGACAUCUCCACGUCAUGAAUCAAGUCAAUUACUAGAACUGUCUUAUCAUGAAGACAUGGUAGAAAUGAAACUGCAAGAGUAACCUUUGCAGCUGCAGUCUCUACACUGUUAAUUGGGGUUGGAGCCAGAGUGUCCGCAGCUGUGGCCUUAUCUUGCCGUUUGAGGUAUCUCUGGCCCCACAGGCCACUACAGGCCUCAGCCAGGACCAGUGACUCCUAGAGGUUCCCUUACUAUGAAUCAGCUCCCAUCACCAGGCAAGGGACCAAGGCCUAGGACAGACUCACAGAUGAAUAUAGAAAGCCAAUUAGUAAAAUUUAAAUCCUGCUCAGAGCCGCUUCAUAGUGGUCUCCAACACCACAGAAAAGGGGACAUUGAACUGAAGGUGACUGGAGAUGAUAAAACAAGUGUGAAGAUCUGCAGUAUCUCUCUGUGCUUCCUCAUACUCUAUCCCUUACUAUAAAACUUUCUUGCCUGCCUGUAACCAGAAAGAUGGUCACUUGAGGCAAGUAGACCCUUUUGUCUCCUCAGAGCUAACUUUCAAUAAAUACUGUUUCUUUUUUUACCCAA